AGCAGUCGCCGCGGGAAUACGGAGGGUGCAAGCGUUAAUCGGAAUUACUGGGCGUAAAGCGUGCGUAGGCGGUUCGUUAAGUCUGUUGUGAAAGCCCCGGGCUCAACCUGGGAAUGGCAAUGGAUACUGGCGAGCUAGAGUGUGUCAGAGGAUGGUGGAAUUCCCGGUGUAGCGGUGAAAUGCGUAGAGAUCGGGAGGAACAUCAGUGGCGAAGGCGGCCAUCUGGGACAACACUGACGCUGAGGCACGAAAGCGUGGGGAGCAAACAGGAUUAGAUACCCCAGUAGUCCCUGUCUCUUAUAC
This 303-nucleotide ribosomal RNA is filed under the name uncultured bacterium. Its description in RNAcentral is "partial 16S ribosomal RNA". It matches the Rfam family "Bacterial small subunit ribosomal RNA", at positions 507 to 807 of the family's 1533-position model. The record is from RNAcentral.